AAAUAAUCGAUCAGCAGGGAGCUUCGAUCUGCGGGGAAUGCGAACUGCCAGUCCCUAUUCCCGCCCUGAAGGUGGCCAAAAGGCUGACUCCCUCCAAGCAGCCCGCCCGCGCCUCCAUCGCCCCCACCCACGUCCCACUCGCCAGCUGCGGACUGAACCCUCACCCUCAAGGGGGUGUAGCCUCAGGGGUUCUUCGGCAAAGAGGUAACGGGGCUUGGAUUUACCACAACUCUGCGGCCACGUUUUCAAAUUUGGAAAAGAUGAGAAAAGAAGGUUCAGGCGAUUUAUGCGAGAAAGGGCCAAUUUGAACACUGGUAACUAGUGGGAGAAAUAAACUUAUAAGCCACAAACACAUCGGUUCGCAACCGAGCCCACAGCCCCGCGAGGCGCCCCUUCUUCCCAGCUCCCGGAGGAUAACUUCAUUGACUGGCAGGUCGGCGGCCACUUCUGGGAGGGCCACUGUUUACCGAAUGAGAACCUCUCAUGGCACAGUCCUUACAGCAGGGCUGCCCUGUCGCCCUUGCGCGUCCGGGUGCCGGGUCCCGGCGGUGUUCUGCAGCGCGAUCCGGUCCCCGUGCCCUGAGCCACCCAGAGCCCUGGGCCUGCCUGCACCCUGGGGCGCGCUGACUCCCUGGGUCGGGUGGGGGUCCCGGCAGGAUGCACUUCCAGCUGCGGGGUCCGCGGAGUUUGCUCGCACCUGGUUUGGCGCAGGGACGUAGGUUUGGGGGACUGUGUCCCCUGGGAAGAGCAAAAGGUGAAAAGGUCCCCUCUCCCACCAGUGUGCCCCAUCCCCGCCAGUUUUGACUGCGAUCCUAUUUUUCUCUUUGGGGGUCGCCUCAGCCUGUGCCGGAGGGAGUUGGGAGUUGGUCAGGCUUGGGCAGCGGUGGGUGGCAGCCCGGGAGCCGGAGCAGGAGCGCGAGGACCCGCGGACUGGGGCGCAGCGACGAUGGCGCACCGGCUUCUGUCUUCUGCUGCUUUGGGGCUGAGCAUCCGAGGGCGCCUUUCUCCCCAGCUGGACUCGGGGACGCCGGAUCACCCCGCCACCUGCCUCUUGGCCUAAUUCUGGAAGCUUCUCGCCUCCGUUCCUGGACGGCUCUUCCUCAGGGGCAGCAAUGAGCCCCGGGGUGCGCUCAUCUCCUCCGAGAUCAAUUGCUCUACGAUUCCUUUUAGGACUUGCAGGGGGGAGAGGUUGGGGACCCCGGCCCCAGAGUGGCUCCUGCGGCACGGCGGCCCACUCGGAGGGGUCGCAACAAGCGCGCAUUUGUGGCCAAGGUUGUGAUUUCAGGUGCGCUAAUGGGAUCAGACGUCCUGGGAGAAGCGUGAGGGGAUUGGUGCCGUUCCUUCUCCCGGCUUCCAGCGGCCGCCGGGUGGAAGUGGGGACACAGGAGGGCCGCGCUACGGGCGCCCAGCGCGGGCGCUCACACCUCUUGAGGAGGCGUGGAACCCAGCGCCCCAGGUGGGGGUAGGGCGCGGGGGUAUAGGUAGUGAGGGGUGACGCUGGGAGAGGACCGGGAGACGGAGGAAAGGAGACAGCCGGGGACACUACUGAGAGAGGGAGUAAGAGAGUGCGCUGCAGAACCGGGGACAGAGCGGCAGAACCGACCGAGAGCUGGAAUUGGAUUGCGUCCUGUCCCAGCACCAGGACACAGAUAAACAGCCUCCCAGCACUGGUACUCGCCAGAGAAGGGGAAACCCGCGUCCCGCGCUGCUGCUUUCUGCUUCGGAGAACCUUAUCUAGACUUUUGCAUAAUUGCGUGUUGGCUUUCCUAAAUAAUUCGGAAGAGCGAUUUCUGCUUCCACUUGUUCACAUAGGCAAACAAUCCCUGUGGGGAAAAUGUGUGUGUGUGUGUGUGUGUGUGCGCGCGCGCGCGCGCGCGUUCCGGUGACAAUUGAGGCCAGAGGCAAACACAUCCUCUUUCAAAAUGUCCCUUAGGUGAUCCCGUAAAUGACUGUCCUGCUCUAGGCAGUGGGAGUCAUCAUCCACUGGGUAGGGGGCUGUGAUUACUCUGCCUAGGGACCACUUUUCACAGCUCCUUCCCCACCGUAGAUAAGGGUGUUAAAUCAAGGCAUUUAGUUCUACUUUUCCAUUGCACAGAUAAGCAAGCUGAGACCCAGAUAGGUUAAGUGAAGUAUCCAAUUUCUUCUCUCCUUUUCUUUUCUGUAUGCCUCAAGAUGGUUUUAUACACACACACACACACACACAUACAUACACACACACACACACCCUGAACUACGAAAAACAUCACAACUACGGAAGAAACAUUUUUUACUCUUCUUAUUUCCUAAGAAGACCAAAAGUCAGAGCUUGUCUUCUGUCAGAAGCAGAUGGGUGUGUGAUGGCAGUGUGUGAGUGUGCAAGUGUGGGGGGGCUGGGCGUUGGCGCCAUCCUUCCUCCUUCCCUGCUCCAUCCCUGACUCCAUCACCGAGCCCCUUCAGGGAAACACAAGGCAGGAGGUUGUACCGCUAUGCAGAAGACCCCUCCAGGUAGGGAGCUUGAAGAAAUGAAACAGCAGGGAGAACCUGUAUUUGGUGGUGAAAGUGCUGGAAUCUUCUAGGCCUUGCUCAUCUCCAACCAGCUACUUCUCCAAAAUAAAGCAAAACAAAACAAAACAAAACAAGGCAAACAACAACCACCACAGGCCUUUUGCAUCAACUUCCUGUGACUAAGUGACCCUAAGCAGAGAACUGGCUCAGGUCACUUAGGGCAGGGGUAGGACAUUGAAGGCCUUAUUUACUCCAGGAUUAAAAACAGCAUCCCCUCUAACCCUGUCUCUCUUGGGCAGCCUGUCUUUUAAGGAUGUGAAAAGCAGCUUCUUGGAGUCUAAACAGGCACAAUACCCCACUGGGAUGUUUAGGUAUCAGGUUCACAAAAACAGCAUUUUACUCCUGCUUCCCCGAACCCCUUUGCAACCCAGGCUACCAUACUCUUUGCAAGAAUAUCCGGUAUCUUUUCCGGGCAAAAUGAAUUGAGUUGGCACUUCCUGAAAUAUUUUUAUUUUUAGCUUCAAAUAAUUUUGCUCCUAAAACAAAUUAGUUACUUAUCCUCUUCUCACCAUGCCCUAAUUAUUUUUAGCUUUAUUCUAAUUUUUUUUGUUACCUUGAAUUUUGUCUUGAUUUGAGAGUUUGGUAUAGAAUACUUGUUUGCAGACUGGUAAUCUGCAGUUUAUUUUGUUUUUAAAAAACUCUGUGAAGUUUACUGUUGUUUUAAAACUCAUGGAAUAUUAACAAAAAAUAACCUAAUAAUAUUCUUCGAGGCUUAAACUUUGGUUAUAGUCUAUGUCCUAGCCUAGCUUUUAUGAUAAGCCUGUUGCAUUUUAAAGGUGCUUAUUGAUUCACAUGUCUUUCAGUAAAAAAUCUUUUGAGGAACCCAGACUUUUGAAAGCUAUUUAAUUUGCAUGUAUUUGGUCAUUACAGGCUAAAACUGAAGAAUGAGUUUGGAAAUUGGUUCUAUUAGAAAACACUGUUUGCACAUCCAAAUGUUCCCAGUCAAGAUUUCCCAAUAGUGGCAGUGAGAAAGAGAGGCAGAGAGAAUUAGGAUACUUGGGUUCAAAUUUUAGCUUAGUCACUGAUGGGCUGAUUGAGUGAGAAGAACUUAAUCACCUGCAAAAUGAAUUGCUUACAGUAUUUUGAUCUCUAAAUACACUUUUGAUUCUGAUAUUUAAUGAUUUUGUAUUACAAAAUUGGGCAGAAAACGCAUAGCUUCAUAACAAGCAAAAAAUUUUACUGUUAACACAUCAUACUUAUUUUAGAGUAAAUUUGAAGGAGGUUGAUGUUUUGGAAUUUGGUUGGAGAGUUAUCCAAAAGCAAUGUUUCCCUGACUCAACUACAACCAAUUACACACAGUGGCCAGUAGGAAAAGGAUUAAGUUGUCCAGACAAAAUAUAAUGGUAACAAAAAAUAAUCUUGUGCUUUUGACAUCUUUCUGUUUACUUGUUUUUGUCUUGUUCUAAUGCCCCCUGAAUUACUAUUUUCUAAAAAACAGUCUCAUCUAAAAUAAAACAUAGUAAUGUGUUUUCAAAUGAGACAUUUUAUUGUAGUUACGAUUUCUUUUGUAUAUUUUCCUAAUGCAGACUACAAUAAAUACACUAAAAUAUUUCAAAAAAAAAAAAAAAAAA
Molecule: long non-coding RNA, 4115 nt
Filed under: Homo sapiens (human)
Lineage: Eukaryota; Metazoa; Chordata; Mammalia; Primates; Hominidae
Description: MEIS1 antisense RNA 3 (MEIS1-AS3)
Source: RNAcentral